RNAcentral lists this RNase P RNA (394 nucleotides) under Acidobacteriota bacterium. RNAcentral describes it as "Acidobacteria bacterium RNase P RNA component class A". It matches the Rfam family "Bacterial RNase P class A". From Rfam's summary of the family: Ribonuclease P (RNase P) is a ubiquitous endoribonuclease, found in archaea, bacteria and eukarya as well as chloroplasts and mitochondria. Its best characterised activity is the generation of mature 5'-ends of tRNAs by cleaving the 5'-leader elements of precursor-tRNAs. Lineage: Bacteria; Pseudomonadati; Acidobacteriota. The record is from RNAcentral.
GGAGCGGGUCGGGCGAUCGCCGCGGUCCGACGUCGGGGCCGGGGAGGAAAGUCCGGACUCCAAUGGGCAGUGUGCUGGUUAACGGCCAGCGAGGGUGACCUCAGGGAGAGUGCCACAGAAAACACACCGCCGAACUCCCGGGUGACCGGGGGUGGCAAGGGUGAAAAGGUGCGGUAAGAGCGCACCGCCGGCGUGGUGACACGACGGGCAGGGAAAACCCCACACGGAGCAAGACCAAAUAGGGGGGCGUUCGAGGCUGGCCCGGCUGAAGCCCCCGGGUAGGUCGCUUGACCCCGCGGGUAACCGCGGGGCUAGAGGAAUGAUCGCCCCCCGUCGCCCGUCCGAGAGGGCGGAACGGCGGGGACAGGAUCCGGCUUACAGACCCGCUUCGCGA